UCCGGUUGAUCCUGCCGGACCCCACUGCUAUCGGGGUGGGACUAAGACAUGCAAGUCGUGCGCCUCCAAGCCACGGUGGAGGCGCGGCGCACAGCUCAGUAACACGUGGCUAACCUACCCUUGGGACAGGGACAACCCCGGGAAACUGGGGCUAAUCCCCGAUAGGUGAGGACUCCUGGAAUGGGUCCUCGCUGAAAGGGCGUCUAGACCAUGCUUCUAGACGCUGCCCAAGGAUGGGGCCGCGGCCGAUCAGGUUGUUGGUGAGGUAACGGCUCACCAAGCCUAAGACCGGUACGGGCCGUGAGAGCGGGAGCCCGGAGAUGGACACUGAGACAAGGGUCCAGGCCCUACGGGGCGCAGCAGUCGCGAAACCUCCGCAAUACGCGAAAGCGUGACGGGGCCACCCCGAGUGCCGUCCGCUGAGGACGGCUUUUCCCCAGUGUAGACAGCUGGGGGAAUAAGGGGAGGGCAAGUCGGGUGUCAGCCGCCGCGGUAAUACCCGCUCCCCGAGUGGUGGGGACGCUUAUUGGGCCUAAAGCAUCCGUAGCCGGCUGGACAAGUCCCCUGUUAAAUCCAGCGAUUUAAUCGCUGGACUGCGGGGGAUACUGUCCAGCUAGGGGGCGGGAGAGGCCGGCGGUAUUCCCGGGGUAGGGGUGAAAUCUUAUAAUCCCGGGAGGACCACCAGUGGCGAAGGCUGCCGGCUGGAACGCGCCCGACGGUGAGGGAUGAAAGCUGGGGGAGCGAACCGGAUUAGAUACCCGGGUAGUCCCAGCUGUAAACGAUGCGGGCUAGGUGUUGGCACGGCUACAAGCCGUGUCAGUGCCGCAGGGAAGCCGUUAAGCCCGCCGCCUGGGGAGUACGGCCGCAAGGCUGAAACUUAAAGGAAUUGGCGGGGGAGCACCACAAGGGGUGAAUCUUGCGGUUUAAUUGGAGUCAACGCCGGG
RNAcentral lists this ribosomal RNA (944 nucleotides) under uncultured archaeon. Its description in RNAcentral is "bacterial SSU rRNA". It matches the Rfam family "Archaeal small subunit ribosomal RNA", at positions 1 to 922 of the family's 1478-position model. The record is from RNAcentral.